Molecule: long non-coding RNA, 476 nt
Organism: Diceros bicornis minor
Lineage: Eukaryota; Metazoa; Chordata; Mammalia; Perissodactyla; Rhinocerotidae
Exons: 3
Source: RefSeq, a predicted model, not a curated record
GGGUUUCCAUGUCUACAAUUCCUUCCACAGUGAUGUCAGCACCUUGGUGAGCACCCUGAGGUGGUUAUCGGGAUGGGGUCAGAUGAUCCCUAAUUACACCUGCCAGGCACAGAACAAGAAUGUGGCUGUCACUGCAGGAACCACACCAGCAUUCUCUGCCCACAUUGGGACACUGUUGGAGCUCUACAAAAUACCACAGAGAACUCAAUAUGGAACACUUUUUCUCUUUUGAUUCAGACAACCUAUGGAGAUUUUGAUCCUGUACUGAAAGGAACUGAAUGUGGAAAUUUUUGGAGUGUCCAUUCAAUGCCUCCCUGGAGUCUCUGCCAAAGGAAACAUUAGACACGACUCUGUCUGGAUCCAGCUACUACAUCUAUGAUGCUGUGGAUGUGGUGGCCUGAGCCCUCCAUGAAAUACUUUUUAUAAAAGCAGAACAGGGGUCCAUAAUGGAUGCAGGCCAGCUCAUGUUUUUCCCU